Molecule: long non-coding RNA, 1922 nt
Organism: Dromaius novaehollandiae (emu)
Lineage: Eukaryota; Metazoa; Chordata; Aves; Casuariiformes; Dromaiidae
Exons: 4
Source: RefSeq, a predicted model, not a curated record
GCGGACAGCAGGAGCUACGGCCCGGCUGGUCAUAUGACUUCUGACGUCACCGCCCCGCCCGGGGGCUGGCACGUGACCCGCCGGCAGGGCGAAGAAGAGACCCCGGCGAUGGGGGAGGAAGAGAAUAAGUUUCUUGCCACCAAGUAUAAAGACAGUCUAAGUACAUUUAUUCUCACCAUGUGUUACCAAAAGCAGAAGUUACUCAGCUUUGAAAAGGAUGCAACCAUCAGCUCCGGUCAAGUGUCUGAAUGAGUCAUCUGCAGAGGAGCUGAGGUUAAUGGAGAGCUGCUGGCUACUCAACACCGUUACAGUUCCAGAUUAACCGUGGUACAUCUCUGGCACUGAAGAGCCAUGGAUGUAUAAUGGCUGCACAUGGGAAAGAGCAUGGGAAAUACCCUGAGAUACAGGAGACGAGUUACACAGCACAUGCUGUUCUGCAAAGUUAAGGCAGAAUACCAGCAUGCAAGACAGCAUAAAGAUUGAGAAUUUUUACCAGGAAGCAAUUCAAUUGAAGCAUGCCUCCGUUUUUCCAUUAGUCUUUUGCUGCCUGUCACCUGACCACAGAGUUAUUUUCUGUCCAAAGAGACAUGCUAGGAACAGAUAACUAAUAUUAGAGUCCACUCUCCCUAACACAACUGUCAAAGCUUGUAAAUACACAGAUAAGUCUAUAUGCAUAACGAAUUGAUGCGCUAAAAAAAAAAAAAAAUUGCCUGAAAGGUGUAUAAUUUUUUUCAAACGUAGCGCCAAAAAAGAAAGGUUUUGAAGAACAAACAAAGAAUUUGAAGCAGGACAAAGGAAUUAGAUGGUAAACCCAGGUUCAAAUAAAGGACUGCAAUGGCAGCUAAAAUACAAAACUAGAAAAAGCAAGACACAGGCAGUGGGCAGAAAGGAGACUGUUGGUGGUUGGUAAGGAAAGCUUAAGUUGCAGGACUAGGGAAGGCUCCUACAACGUUCAGCCACCAACCUGCAUGCUCACAGUCAGUCAGAUUCCCUCCAGCAGCUUUAGUUAGAUGACUGGGCAUCACAUUUAGGAUUUUUUUUUUUUUUAAUAGAUGAAGCACAUGUGUCUGAGUAAAUUAAACCAAAAAGGUAGUAGCUUUUGCUAAGAUUCAGGAGAGUCCCACACCUGUAUCCCAGACUUGUCCUGUUUUUUUUUUGUCCUUCCAUAGAAGUUGCCACACAAUCUGUUGCAAGGAUGUUGCAUUUACCAAGAUUCAGGCACUUUUCAAGACUCUCGUGGACGCACUGCAGAGGAAAUUAUUACUUUGCCGCACCCUGAUACCUUCAGCACUAGGUGAUCUUCCAGAAAAACAUUUCUAGGUGCCUUUGACUUGUAAGCACAAUACACCCAGGAAUGUAGUGAACCAAAUAGCCAGCAUCAAACCAACAACUGAUUGGGACAGGAUGCUCAGCCAGAUUCUAUCACCAGCUAUCAAAAAGCAAUCAAAUACAGCUAUUUCACUAUGAAAUAGCUAUUACCAUGCUGACUGAUAAACUAAGUAAUAAUGUACUACUACUAAACUGCUUGCUUACCUAUUUGUUUAGCACAUACAAAAUCCUAGGAGGAGGAAUAUGAGGAAACCAGAUUAAAAAUGAGGGUCUGAGAAAGAGAGUCACAUGAUGACAUGGCCCAUGGCUUCUGAACCUCUGAGGCCACUUUCAGACCAAUUUGGAGAAGUAAAAAGUCUUCAGAGAUGGUUCCAUUCUCUGUUAAGUUUGGGGGUGAGGCGGUGGGUGGAAAUCAGCAGGUGGAUAAAGGAGAACCAAACCCCUGCUCCCACUAACAGAAAGGCAGAACCAAUGAGGAAAAACUCUUCGCAACACUGCUUCUUGAGGUUAUUGCAGUUGUGGGGCAGGGAGCAAGAGAGGGGAAAUACAGCAUAGGACAACAGACAUACACAUCAUACAAAGACAGGCUUCAU